CCGAAAAUGGCCACCCCAUGGAGGAUCUUCGCUGGACGGCUUCAGAGGAAACACACACAGACCGAGCCAGAGUUACCUGGCCAGGAGUUCCUUUGUCUGAUCCGUCAGAAUGGCGCUGUCCGCUUUCACCAUGCAAACCAAGGCCGAGGAUUUGGCUUGCGGUGAGAGGAAGGGCGCCAGGCAGGCUUACUUUUGGGUGUUCUUCGGGGACGUGCUGCUUUGAAAACUUGGCCAGCUG
This is a non-coding RNA of Pogona vitticeps (central bearded dragon), 238 nucleotides long. The record is from RefSeq and is a predicted model, not a curated record. Lineage: Eukaryota; Metazoa; Chordata; Lepidosauria; Squamata; Agamidae.